CCCUUAGAGUUUGAUCCUGGCUCAGGAUGAACGCUGGCGGCGUGCCUAAUACAUGCAAGUCGAACGAAUCUCUUUUAGAGAUGAGUGGCGAACGGGUGAGUAAUACAUAGGUAACCUGCCCCUGUGCGGGGGAUAACAGGAGGAAACUCCUGCUAAUACCGCAUAGCCAUGAGCACCGCAUGGAGCUCAUGCCAAAUAUCCUUUCGGGGAUAGCGCAGGGAUGGACCUAUGGCGCAUUAGCUGGUUGGCGGGGCAACGGCCCACCAAGGCAACGAUGCGUAGCCGGCCUGAGAGGGCGGACGGCCACAUUGGGACUGAGACACGGCCCAGACUCCUACGGGAGGCAGCAGUAGGGAAUUUUCGGCAAUGGGGGAAACCCUGACCGAGCAACGCCGCGUGAGCGAAGAAGGCCUUCGGGUCGUAAAGCUCUGUUGUAAAGGAAGAACGGCGCAUACAGGAAAUGGUAUGCGAGUGACGGUACUUUACCAGAAAGCCACGGCUAACUACGUGCCAGCAGCCGCGGUAAUACGUAGGUGGCGAGCGUUAUCCGGAAUCAUUGGGCGUAAAGAGGGAGCAGGCGGCCGCAAGGGUCUGUGGUGAAAGACCGAAGCUAAACUUCGGUAAGCCAUGGAAACCGGGCGGCUAGAGUGCGGAAGAGGAUCGUGGAAUUCCAUGUGUAGCGGUGAAAUGCGUAGAUAUAUGGAGGAACACCAGUGGCGAAGGCGACGGUCUGGGCCGCAACUGACGCUCAUUCCCGAAAGCGUGGGGAGCAAAUAGGAUUAGAUACCCUAGUAGUCCACGCCGUAAACGAUGGUCACUAAGUGUCGGGGGUCAAACCCCGGUGCUGCAGUCAACGCAAUAAGUGACCCGCCUGAGUAGUACGUUCGCAAGAAUGAAACUCAAAGGAAUUGA
RNAcentral lists this ribosomal RNA (912 nucleotides) under uncultured bacterium. RNAcentral's name for it is "bacterial SSU rRNA". It matches the Rfam family "Bacterial small subunit ribosomal RNA", at positions 1 to 913 of the family's 1533-position model. The record is from RNAcentral.